Molecule: ribosomal RNA, 465 nt
Filed under: Vreelandella stevensii
Lineage: Bacteria; Pseudomonadati; Pseudomonadota; Gammaproteobacteria; Oceanospirillales; Halomonadaceae
Description: partial 16S ribosomal RNA
Rfam family: Bacterial small subunit ribosomal RNA
Source: RNAcentral
CCUACGGGUGGCAGCAGUGGGGAAUAUUGGACAAUGGGCGAAAGCCUGAUCCAGCCAUGCCGCGUGUGUGAAGAAGGCCUUCGGGUUGUAAAGCACUUUCAGUGGGGAAGAAAGCCUUGGGGCUAAUACCCUCGAGGAAGGACAUCACCCACAGAAGAAGCACCGGCUAACUCCGUGCCAGCAGCCGCGGUAAUACGGAGGGUGCGAGCGUUAAUCGGAAUUACUGGGCGUAAAGCGCGCGUAGGCGGUCUGAUAAGCCGGUUGUGAAAGCCCCGGGCUCAACCUGGGAACGGCAUCCGGAACUGGCAGGGUAGGGGGCAGGAGAGGAAGGUAGAAUUCCCGGUGUAGCGGUGAAAUGCGUAGAGAUCGGGAGGAAUACCAGUGGCGAAGGCGGCCUUCUGGACUGACACUGACGCUGAGGUGCGAAAGCGUGGGUAGCAAACAGGAUUAGAUACCCUGGUAGUC